This 245-nucleotide ribosomal RNA is filed under the name uncultured Bacteroidales bacterium. Its description in RNAcentral is "partial 16S ribosomal RNA". It matches the Rfam family "Bacterial small subunit ribosomal RNA", at positions 524 to 768 of the family's 1533-position model. The record is from RNAcentral. Lineage: Bacteria; Pseudomonadati; Bacteroidota; Bacteroidia; Bacteroidales.
UACGGAGGAUGCGAGCGUUAUCCGGAUUUAUUGGGUUUAAAGGGAGCGCAGGCGGUUUUUUAGGCCAGCCGUGAAAUUUCCGCGCUCAACGCGGUCCUUGCGGUUGGAACCGGAUGACUAGAGUGGGGUACAGGAAGGCGGAAUUCGUGGUGUAGCGGUGAAAUGCUUAGAUAUCACGAAGAACCCCGAUUGCGAAGGCAGCUUUCCGGACCCUUACUGACGCUCAUGCUCGAAAGCGCGGGAAU